GACGAACGCUGGCGGCGUGCUUAACACAUGCAAGUCGAACGGAAAGGCCCUGCUUGCAGGGUACUCGAGUGGCGAACGGGUGUGUAACACGUGGGUGAUCUGCCCUGCACUUCGGGAUAAGCCUGGGAAACUGGGUCUAAUACCGGAUAGGAGCCAUUUUUAGUGUGAUGGUUGGAAAGUUUUUUCGGUGUAGGAUGAGCUCGCGGCCUAUCAGCUUGUUGUUGGGGUAAUGGCCUACCAAGGCGGCGACGGGUAGCCGGCCUGAGAGGGUGGACGGCCACAUUGGGACUGAGAUACGGCCCAGACUCCUACGGGAGGCAGCAGUGGGGAAUAUUGCACAAUGGGCGCAAGCCUGAUGCAGCGACGCCGCGUGGGGGAUGACGGCCUUCGGGUUGUAAACUCCUUUCGCUAGGGACGAAGCUUUUUGUGACGGUACCUAGAUAAGAAGCACCGGCUAACUACGUG
This 465-nucleotide ribosomal RNA is filed under the name uncultured bacterium. Its description in RNAcentral is "partial 16S ribosomal RNA". It matches the Rfam family "Bacterial small subunit ribosomal RNA", at positions 28 to 507 of the family's 1533-position model. The record is from RNAcentral.